Molecule: long non-coding RNA, 836 nt
Filed under: Equus caballus (horse)
Lineage: Eukaryota; Metazoa; Chordata; Mammalia; Perissodactyla; Equidae
Description: lncRNA (ENSECAG00000057975.1)
Source: RNAcentral
AGGGGAUAGGUCUUCUGAUGUCGCCUCUUACCCUGUUGCAAACGCCAGGAGGACAGAGAGGAAAGCCAGCAGCUUUUAGAGGACAGAGGGCCCCCCAAAACCUGGAUCCUCCCCUGUCCCCUGCCCUCGGGGAGCUGCCCAGAUCCACAGCCACCCUUGGAGCACAGCCAGCCAGAAAGGCGGAAUUGCAGAUGGCAGAGCUGUGUGCAGCUGUGGGACUCCUCAAAGCCGUCUUGGGUUAUAUUCCUGGAAAAGGCACUGCAGGUAAAAAUGAUGUAGGUUGAAUCUGUUUUUUCCCACAAACAUUGUGAUAAUGGAAAUUACAUUCCUCACCAAGGUCUUGGUGCCCAACUUUUUCUAGGAAUAGGUAUAAGCACUAUAAACACCAUAUUUAAUCAACUGUAAAUGACACACCUAUACUCUGUAUUUGUGAAAUUGAAUUUGAGUAUAUAAAACUGCUACACCGGACAAUAUGGUAACCAAAUCCCAUUCUGUUUAAUUUAAUGUGUUCAGAAGAUUCCUGGGAGAAAUGCUAUUUUAGGGGGAGGAGGGAGCCCUGGAGAGGACUGAAGAGACUUUCCCUCCCCCACACGGAACCUGCGUAGGCAAGAGGGAGACUGUCAAAGGUCUGAAGCUGAGAGACGAAGAUUUUUGUGCCCCAUGGCCCACCUGAAAACAGACCAACCAGGCAGCAGCAUUCGUGGGUGCGGCUGGCCCACUCUGACGUGCUCGUCACUUAAGCUAAAAGCUGCCUACACAUAGACCAGCAAAGGGGGACGCUUGAGAGGGCUUGCAACACGCGCAGUUGGGUGAGGCUGAUCUGGAAUGGCUUUCUG